UUCAUAGAUAAAUAAAACAUGGGUCGUAUCACUUAUUUACUAAGACCAAUAUACUUAUAAUUCCAAAACUAGUACAUAUAUGACAGGUUCUUCACUCUCUUUAUUUCAUUUCAGAACGACAGAUAUUGUUUCUGUGGACAAUACUGACUUCCAUUAUAAAGUGGUAAAAGGCACAUUAAAUGAACUGCGUCAUUAAGACAGAACCAUUUUUUU
Molecule: long non-coding RNA, 213 nt
Filed under: Mytilus galloprovincialis (Mediterranean mussel)
Lineage: Eukaryota; Metazoa; Mollusca; Bivalvia; Mytilida; Mytilidae
Source: RNAcentral